This 427-nucleotide ribosomal RNA is filed under the name uncultured bacterium. RNAcentral describes it as "partial 16S ribosomal RNA". It matches the Rfam family "Bacterial small subunit ribosomal RNA", at positions 355 to 774 of the family's 1533-position model. The record is from RNAcentral.
UGGGGAAUAUUGCACAAUGGGCGCAAGCCUGAUGCAGCCAUGCCGCGUGUAUGAAGAAGGCCUUCGGGUUGUAAAGUACUUUCAGCGGGGAGGAAGGCGAUAAGGUUAAUAACCUUGUCGAUUGACGUUACCCGCAGAAGAAGCACCGGCUAACUCCGUGCCAGCAGCCGCGGUAAUACGGAGGGUGCAAGCGUUAAUCGGAAUUACUGGUGGUAAAGCGCACGCAGGCGGUCUGUCAAGUCGGAUGCGAAAUCCCCGGGCUCAACCUGGGAACUGCAUUCGAAACUGGCAGGCUAGAGUCUUGUAGAGGGGGGUAGAAUUCCAAGUGUAGCGGUGAAAUGCGUAGAGAUCUGGAGGAAUACCGGUGGCGAAGGCGGCCCCCUGGACAAAGACUGACGCUCAGGUGCGAAAGCGUGGGGAGCAAACA